This 492-nucleotide ribosomal RNA is filed under the name uncultured bacterium. Its description in RNAcentral is "partial 16S ribosomal RNA". It matches the Rfam family "Bacterial small subunit ribosomal RNA", at positions 29 to 507 of the family's 1533-position model. The record is from RNAcentral.
AGUGAACGCUGGCGGUAGGCCUAACACAUGCAAGUCGAACGGCAGCACAGUAAGAGCUUGCUCUUACGGGUGGCGAGUGGCGGACGGGCGAGGAAUACAUCGGAAUCUACUUUUUCGUGGGGGAUAACGUAGGGAAACUUACGCUAAUACCGCAUACGACCUAUGGGUGAAAGCAGGGGAUCUUCGGACCUUGCGCGAUUGAAUGAGCCGAUGUCGGAUUAGCUAGUUGGCGGGGUAAAGGCCCACCAAGGCGACGAUCCGUAGCUGGUCUGAGAGGAUGAUCAGCCACACUGGAACUGAGACACGGUCCAGACUCCUACGGGAGGCAGCAGUGGGGAAUAUUGGACAAUGGGCGCAAGCCUGAUCCAGCCAUACCGCGUGGGUGAAGAAGGCCUUCGGGUUGUAAAGCCCUUUUGUUGGGAAAGAAAAGCAGCAGGUUAAUACCCCGCUGUUCUGACGGUACCCAAAGAAUAAGCACCGGCUAACUUCGUG